CCUACGGGCGGCAGCAGUGGGGAAUAUUGGACAAUGGGGGGAACCCUGAUCCAGCCAUGCCGCGUGUGUGAAUAAGGCCCUCGGGUUGUAAAGCACUUUCAGUGAGGAAGAACGCCUGGUGGUUAAUACCCAUCAGGAAAGACAUCACUCACAGAAGAAGCACCGGCUAACUCCGUGCCAGCAGCCGCGGUAAUACGGAGGGUGCGAGCGUUAAUCGGAAUUACUGGGCGUAAAGCGCGCGUAGGUGGCUUGAUAAGCCGGUUGUGAAAGCCCCGGGCUCAACCUGGGAACGGCAUCCGGAACUGUCAAGCUAGAGUGCAGGAGAGGAAGGUAGAAUUCCCGGUGUAGCGGUGAAAUGCGUAGAGAGCGGGAGGAAUACCAGUGGCGAAGGCGGCCUUCUGGACUGACACUGACACUGAGGUGCGAAAGCGUGGGUAGCAAACAGGAUUAGAUACCCUGGUAGUC
RNAcentral lists this ribosomal RNA (465 nucleotides) under Vreelandella stevensii. RNAcentral describes it as "partial 16S ribosomal RNA". It matches the Rfam family "Bacterial small subunit ribosomal RNA", at positions 338 to 795 of the family's 1533-position model. The record is from RNAcentral. Lineage: Bacteria; Pseudomonadati; Pseudomonadota; Gammaproteobacteria; Oceanospirillales; Halomonadaceae.